RNAcentral lists this ribosomal RNA (141 nucleotides) under Phomopsis sp. GJS 83-377. Its description in RNAcentral is "5.8S ribosomal RNA". It matches the Rfam family "5.8S ribosomal RNA". Rfam says of the family: 5.8S ribosomal RNA (5.8S rRNA) is a component of the large subunit of the eukaryotic ribosome. It is transcribed by RNA polymerase I as part of the 45S precursor that also contains 18S and 28S rRNA. RNAcentral also lists the same sequence under 4 other names. The record is from RNAcentral. Lineage: Eukaryota; Fungi; Ascomycota; Sordariomycetes; Diaporthales; Diaporthaceae.
CAACAACGGAUCUCUUGGUUCUGGCAUCGAUGAAGAACGCAGCGAAAUGCGAUAAGUAAUGUGAAUUGCAGAAUUCAGUGAAUCAUCGAAUCUUUGAACGCACAUUGCGCCCUCUGGUAUUCCGGAGGGCAUGCCUGUUCG